This 480-nucleotide ribosomal RNA is filed under the name Triticum aestivum (bread wheat). Its description in RNAcentral is "partial small subunit ribosomal RNA". The record is from RNAcentral. Lineage: Eukaryota; Viridiplantae; Streptophyta; Magnoliopsida; Poales; Poaceae.
AUGAACAAGCAUCAAGUGAGGAAACUGAUAAGGAUUAUUAGCAAAAAAAUACGAAUGGUGGCAAGCAAAUUAUUUGUUUAUGCUCUACCCAACACAAUAGUGAGCUGUAGGAUGUGGUUCCCGAAGCAGUUCACUCAAGAUUACCUUGCAAAGUACAUGAUUGGUGGACACGCAAUGAAGGUUAAAGUAUUUCAUCCAAACUACAAUGAGCAUCGAGAAGUCCUAAUGAAGACAAUGAAGGAUGGACGGGCAGCCAUCACAAGGGGUUGGCCUAGAGUCGUGCGCGCAUUACGCAUGGAGGAGGGCACAAUAUGGGCAUUCCGCUUCACAUUCUCCAGCAACCAGAAUGUCUUUCACCUCUCUCUUUAUAGUCUUUUGUACAACUGUGGUUCAUCAUUCUUUACUUGGUGCUUCUGUAGUUCUUCAGUAUAUGUACCUAUGCAUCGAAUUAUGGAUUUGUUGUUGAACCUAUAUUUGUAA